AAAGAAUUGGCGCUUUUUCAUUUGAAUUUGUCUUUGGCACAAGAGCCGUAAUAUCACAUUAAACCUAAUUACGAGGCACUCUCAACAUAAUUUGGUUUUCUGUGUGAAUAGAUUUGCCAACUGACUCUUCAGUUACAUUGUGUAUUUACUGCACCGUGGUGUUAGUGAGAUUUUGGACAUUGAACAGCUUAAGCUAAUAUCAUCAGUGGCAUUAUGCUAGCUUACAUCCCUACCCCUCCUGGCCUCACCUGCUGUCCGUUUGUUUUUGUUUUUUUUUUGCUGCACAUUGAGAGAUGACCUCUAUUCUGCAUUUCACCAGGAGUCAGCUGAUGGAUUGUGGGUUCAAGGUGUUAUGAUGAAAUGCAGCAUUCCAGUGCAUCCCAACCAUGCCUUUACAGUCAAGGUUUCUGACGGAGCUGAGUUUCUCUCUGACAGUCUGCUGAAAGUGUUUGCAAAGUGAUCGGGGGAACAGGGCACAAAGCUAAAGGAUGUAGCUGCCAUGAUGACAGAUGACAUUAAUGCUCGAAGGGAGUCUCAUCAAAGUGCUCCGCAUCUGUGUGAAAGACAAUUGCAACAUCUUGGCGCAGGAGUUCAUGGACUUGACUGAGGCCACUGCACAGAUUGAGAAAACCACAAUGAACAUCUGUCUCCAGAGGAUGCACCAGGCAAUGACUUUUCUGAUGUUGUUCUUCAAGAUCUGGAUAACGUGACCUUUGCAGUAGCCAUGCUGUUUGGACCUUUUUUAUUCCUUCAAUAUGAGUUACCC
Long non-coding RNA from Astatotilapia calliptera (eastern happy), 766 nucleotides. Lineage: Eukaryota; Metazoa; Chordata; Actinopteri; Cichliformes; Cichlidae. The record is from Ensembl.